CCAGAGUGUCUGCAGCAGGACGGUGUGAACACUGAAGCUCAAAAUCUUUUUCUCAGUCGCACAUUGGAAGCCCCAAAGAACCGUCACUCUAAUACCCAGAUGCGGUUCCGCUAAGUGGCCAGUGGGACAACCCACGCAUUUGUGGCUAGAGUUGGUCAGGGUGUCCGAAAAUCCCAAGGCUUUUUAAUGUAAAUUUAGAAUUGCUGCAUUCUGAGAGGGCUGCCCUCUGCCUGCUGAGGCUCCUGCCCAGGCCUCCGUCCCCGCCCCCUGCCUGCUCUUCUCAUAGUUCUCAUUUUUCUAAGUCACUUACCUGCUUAGAGCAAGUCGGAGCCAUCCAGUGGCUUUUUGAGACGUUUGCCAGCAGACCUGACCCAGGGCGCUGUGACAUGCUCCCACAGGACGGAUUGCCUUGUGAAGGAGAGCAGUACGGCGAGAAGUCUGUGAGAGAGUCCCUGGGUCAAACAACAGUGAGCGUGAGUCAAAAGGCAGGUGACGGAUGACGGAGGGCAGGUGGGACAGGACACGGGAGCCACAGCUGGCUGGCAGGCCCAGGAAGGACCCCAUGCUCCCCUGCUCCCCCGCCUAGGGCUCCCCCAAGACGCUGUGAAGAAAGGAGAAACAUGGCUUCCCAUCUCCUGGGGCACUGGUGUGCGCAUGUCCUCCAGGCAACUGUGUCCACGGGAAGUGGCCCCAAGCGCCUGGGACCCCAGGAUACCACACAUCAGAUGUGUCUAAACUGCACCACAGAAGGGACCCCACAGAGCUCCUGCCCUGUGAGGACUCAGCGAGACGACGGCCGUCUGUGACCCAGAAAAGCCUUCACCAGAACCCAACCCUGCAGGCGCCCUGACCUUGACCUCCGGCCUCCC
This is a long non-coding RNA of Hipposideros armiger (great roundleaf bat), 869 nucleotides long. RefSeq lists it as uncharacterized. The record is from RefSeq and is a predicted model, not a curated record. The transcript has 3 exons. Lineage: Eukaryota; Metazoa; Chordata; Mammalia; Chiroptera; Hipposideridae.